UACAGAGGGGGCAAGCGUUAUUCGGAAUUAUUGGGCGUAAAGGGCGCGUAGGCGGCCAUUCAAGUGACGGGUGAAAGCCCUCGGCUUAACCGAGGAACUGCCUGUCAGACUGGAUGGCUUGAGACCGGGAGAGGUGAGUGGAAUUCCCAGUGUAGCGGUGAAAUGCGUAGAUAUUGGGAGGAACACCAGUGGCGAAGGCGGCUCACUGGACCGGAACUGACGCUGAGACGCGAAAGCGUGGGGAGCGAACAGG
This 253-nucleotide ribosomal RNA is filed under the name uncultured bacterium. RNAcentral describes it as "partial 16S ribosomal RNA". It matches the Rfam family "Bacterial small subunit ribosomal RNA", at positions 524 to 776 of the family's 1533-position model. The record is from RNAcentral.